UACAGAGGGUGCAAACGUUGCUCGGAAUUAUUGGGCGUAAAGCGCGUGUAGGCGGCUUGUUAAGUUGGUCGUGAAAGCCCAUGGCUCAACCAUGGAGGUGCAACCAAAACUGGCAAGCUUGAGUUCUGAAGAGGAUGGCGGAAUUCCCAGUGUAGAGGUGAAAUUCGUAGAUAUUGGGAGGAACAUCGGUGGCGAAGGCGGCCAUCUGGGAAGCGACUGACGCUGAGACGCGAAAGCGUGGGUAGCAAACAGG
Molecule: ribosomal RNA, 253 nt
Filed under: uncultured bacterium
Lineage: Bacteria
Description: partial 16S ribosomal RNA
Rfam family: Bacterial small subunit ribosomal RNA
Source: RNAcentral